AGUGAACGCUGGCGGUAGGCCUAACACAUGCAAGUCGAACGGCAGCACAGGAGAGCUUGCUCUCUGGGUGGCGAGUGGCGGACGGGUGAGGAAUACAUCGGAAUCUACUCUGUCGUGGGGGAUAACGUAGGGAAACUUACGCUAAUACCGCAUACGACCUACGGGUGAAAGCAGGGGACCUUCGGGCCUUGCGCGAUUGAAUGAGCCGAUGUCGGAGUAGCUAGUUGGCGGGGUAAAGGCCCACCAAGGCGACGAUCCGUAGCUGGUCUGAGGGGAUGAUCAGCCACACUGGAACUGAGACACGGUCCAGACUCCUACGGGAGGCAGCAGUGGGGAAUAUUGGACAAUGGGCGCAAGCCUGAUCCAGCCAUACCGCGUGGGUGAAGAAGGCCUUCGGGUUGUAACGCCCUUUUGUUGGGAAAGAAAUCCAGCUGGCUAAUACCCGGUUGGGAUGACGGUACCCAAAGAAUAAGCACCGGCUAACUUCGUGCCAGCCGCCGCUGUAG
RNAcentral lists this ribosomal RNA (506 nucleotides) under uncultured bacterium. RNAcentral's name for it is "partial 16S ribosomal RNA". It matches the Rfam family "Bacterial small subunit ribosomal RNA", at positions 29 to 523 of the family's 1533-position model. The record is from RNAcentral.